GUAAGAUUGCACAACCAGCUGGAGGACAGCCCUUUGGGACAUGGGAGAGCACAUGCUCCUGGGCCAGGCCUGGGGCCACUGGUCCCUGAGCAAGUCUGCCAGCCUUCUGAGCAGAGCUGUCCCUGGCUUGGGGGCCUCUCCAGUCUGGCUGUUCCCCCAUGGGGGAGACUUGCCCCUCCAUAGAGAAGCUCUAUAACGUCCUGCCGCGCACUGUGCAGGUUGGUGUCAAGGGGCAGGGAUUUGGUUCCUGCAUACACAAGCUAGGAGGUGGUUUACUACAGAGGGAGCUGGGUGGAGAAUAAGCCCUUUAUAUCUCUGUAGGGAGUCAGUGGGAAGGAGAGUGGUAUGGAGACUGAGCUGCCUCAGUUUGAAUCCCGCCUGGCAGGUCACCAGGCAAAUGAUGGCUGGGUCUGUUGGCAGAUGCGGUGCUCAUCUUCAGCUCCCUCCAAGCAGUGUGUAUUAUACAGUCAAGGUCAUGAUCUCAAAGUGUCAAAUGUCCUGGAAAGAGGUUCAGAAGACGUCUCUGAAAAGAGAGGAUCAGAAGACUUGUUUCUGCUCCUAGCUAGUCACCCAGAGUUGGUCUUUGAAUAUGGACCACUGGACCCAAGAAAGCUGCUGGAUCAUUUAUCAGACAGGUUUUGAAACCAAGAAAGAGGACAUCAUCUGUCUGAGAAGUUAUCAUCUCACUGCCCAUUCUUCCCUACCCCAUCCCUGCCCAACAUGAACACAUUUCAAUCUAAACCUG
Molecule: long non-coding RNA, 745 nt
Filed under: Heterocephalus glaber (naked mole-rat)
Lineage: Eukaryota; Metazoa; Chordata; Mammalia; Rodentia; Bathyergidae
Description: lncRNA (ENSHGLG00000025234.2)
Source: RNAcentral